GAAACAAUGAUAAAAAUUUGCGCGGUUACAAUUCCCCCCAAUUGAAAUUUUUUUGGCCUUUUUCUCUUUGUUUCCCCCGCAACAGACAUUCUCUCCUCAUCCGGCUCUCGAUAAACUGUCUCUCGCUCAAUUUACUCUCUAGUAACACAUUUUUUCAACUUUAUUUUAGGUGUGUUCUUCAAUUUUAGACAUAUCGUCCUUCGAUUUGAGGCAUAUAUCGCUAAUUUGGGCUAAUUAAGAGGAUCUUCUUUAGGUGAUUAGGGUUUUUCGGCGAAGCUUGGAAUUGGGGCUUUCACAUGUAAAGAUUCUUUGGCUGCCCAGGGAAAGCGUCGUUACGAUGGUAACCAAACUGGUUAUUUCUUUGUCAUUUUCAAGGUGUUUUUUGCAGGCGUAUUUAAUUUGUUAAAUUUAGGGAUUGUAUGGAUGUUGAAUUUUUGAGAUAUUGUAUGACUUUAAAUAUCAAGCUGCAAGUGUGGAUGAUGAGGGUAUUGGUGUUAAGAUUGCUGGAUUUGCUCAGUUUUCUAGUCCAAAGAAACACAAUGGGGCUGCAGGUCUAGAUAUGAGGCUAUGUUUAGGAAACCUUUGUGAAUCUUUGCGAGCAGCAGAAUACUUCUGGUCAGCCUAUGGAUAGAAAUGCAUUAUUUCUUAAUGCAGUUGGAGGUCCAGACAAUUGAACAGGGUAUAUGGAGUUGGUUCAUCACAAGCAACUUCUAUCAGUCUGAAAUUAUGCCUUGCACUUCAACCGUUGUCAAUGAAGAAAAUGAGUAGCUGAAGUACAACUGAUAGAGAUGAAUGAGCGGAUGGAAGUGAUGGAAUAUCAAAUUGCCAGGUUCAUUCAGGCUAAUUCAGUCCGAGAUUCUCAGGGACCUGAUGUAGAUAGUCAAAAUGAUGAUAAUUAAGAUUUGUUUUAGUAACUGCAGUGUUAGUUUCAUUUAUGUAUGUCGCUUAUGACUUAAAACUAUUGCAUAUGACAUUAUAAAUGUUGAGAUUAUUAUAUAUAUUUUGUUGUUACUUCA
Long non-coding RNA from Daucus carota subsp. sativus, 1016 nucleotides. RefSeq lists it as uncharacterized. Lineage: Eukaryota; Viridiplantae; Streptophyta; Magnoliopsida; Apiales; Apiaceae. The record is from RefSeq and is a predicted model, not a curated record. The transcript is spliced from 2 exons.